GAUUUCUGGAAGAAUAUCUGUCCAAAAUGAUUUCCCCACUGGACCAUGGCCUCUGCCAUUUACUGGAAACUUGCUGCAGAUCAAUAUGCGGAAUCCCUUGAAGAGAUUCGAAAAGGUAAGGUUCCUUUUUCUCCACCACCACCACCACCACCACAGUGAUCUAAUAAAAGAGCUGAUGGAGAACAAAGGAAGGUUGACUACCAUUUGCAGGAGUAAGUGCAAUUGGAAGAAAGGGCACAGCAGGAGGGUGUGCCUGGAGCUCACUUUUUUGCAUGAGACUAAAUAUUUGCUUUCCACUGGGCAUGGGGAAAGUCACUUGGAAGCUAUAGCAGGUGGCAUUUUACUACCUGCUAAGUUACAUAUCAAUUUGACUCAAGGAAAUAACUGAGCAUCUGUCUGCAAUGAAAGUGUGUACAGUGGUACCUCUGGUUACAUACACUUCAGGUUACAUACGCUUCAGGUUACAUACACUUCAGGUUACAGACUCCGCUAACCCAGAAAUAGUACCUCGGGUUAAGAACUUUGCUUCAGGAUGAGAACAGAAAUUGCGCAGCAGUGGCGCAGCAGCAGCAGGAGGCCCCAAUAGCUAAAGUGGUGCUUCAGGUUAAGAACAGUUUCAGGUUAAGAAUGGACCUCCGGAACGAAUUAAGUACUUAACCCGAGGUACCACUGUAUGUGUUUUGUAAGGUUUUUCUUUUUUAUUUUUUUAAUGUAUUUUUAUUAAAUAUUUUCUUGGGUUACAAAAGUAUGUGCAAUGUUUCUCUCUUUUUUUCCUUCAAGUAACAUUUUUUACAGAUUUUUGACAGAAGAUGGGUACAGUUUGUGGGGGAAUGGCUUCAUGAGCCAAUUUAGGACAUAUACCAGUUCUAAAUAGUCCCAUUGUGGGCUGAAGGUUUCCCACCACUGAGACAGUGGAAGGCAUAUCCCUCUUAUAUUUAUUUACAAUUCAAGGUCAUGUUCCUUCCUGUCUUUGGGUUUUUUAAAAAAACAAAACAAAAACACCAACAACACAAAAUUACAAGUUUAUUCUCAGAAGGAUUUGUUGGUUUCACCACUCUAUAGACUUAGGUCAUUCUGUAAUCAAGAGCUGUGAUAAGUAUCAGCUGACUCUGACCCUCACCCCCAAAGAACACUCUUUUGUAUAACACACCAGCUUGUUAAUGCUGGAUCUGGAUUAGUGAUAGGCAGUGGCAAGGGGGAAGUGGCUGUCAUAGCUGAUGUUUAUCAUGACAUUUCUAUCCCACCUUUCUUCCAAGGAGCCCAAGGUGGAGUACAUGGUUCCACUCAAGGUUAUGUUGAGAGAUAGUGACUGGGCCCAUGGUUGCUUUGUGAGCUUCAUGACUGAGUGAGGAUUUGAAUUCUGGUCUCCAAAGUCCUAGGUUGUUUUGGGUUGGGGGUUACCUGAUUUUUUGUCUGUGUUUUAUCUGAGGGAGGCCUUUUAACCUGUAUUUUGGGUAUUCUGAGCAUCACCAGUUCAGUAUUUUGGGCAUUCUGAGCAUCACCAGCUUUUCUUCCAUAAAAUGAGUAUUUUGUGGUACCCACAGCCAUUUCUGGCAUUACUGAAUGUGCUCCCAGGCCUCAAAAAGGUUGGGAACCUUUCGUUAAAGCUAUUGAUGCCUACAAGGCACGCUGGCUACACACAACCUCAAGGUUCAGCGUCAGUUGGUUAUUUAGUACCAGUUUCAGGGAUUGGUGGAAGGAUUGCUAUCAAGCUUUGCUUGUGGGUUGCAAAAGAACCUGGCUUGCCACUGUGGAAAAGAGGUUGGUGGACGAAGAUGAAUCUCUGGUCUCCUUCCUGUGUUUUCUUCAAAGAUGCUGGAGGAGGAGAGCUUAAGUGACUACAACAUACACACACAUAAUGACUAUGGGAUUUUAUUUCUAGUGGUAACUAAGACUGUUGGUCCUCAGAGAAAUGCCAAAGGGAAAUGGACACUGUCAUUGGCAAGGGUGCAUGCCUGAAAUAUGAAGAACGGGAGAACAUUCCCAAACCAAUACAGUCAUCCAUGAAAUCCAGUGUUUUUCAAGCAUAGUGCCCCUGGGAAUACCCCAAACACCCAUCCAAGACACAGAGGUUUGGGGGUACGCAAUUCCCAGGGUAAGUUCUGCAACAUUUGAAUGUGAACCAUGUUGGCGUUCCCUGUGCACGCAGAUGGCAGGCAUUAUGAGUUAUGUGUAGCUGUUUGAUUAUUUAAACCAUUUAUCUAAACACAGAGGUGGCACAUCUUAUUUUCCACCUGAGGAUAUAUGGAAAGGUGCUGCCCUGUGUGCCCCCUGCCCCUUGCCACCUCUGCCAAACCUCACUUACUGGGGCCAUGCAGCUACAGCUUCUGGCUUCCGGUGAGCUCCCGCAAAGGCCUCUGCAGGCCUCAUGCCACCUCCCUGAGACCUGGUAAACAGGAUUGCUGUUACAUCUCCCUGGAACCUGGAAGCUGCCACAGCUGCUUCUCCUCACUUCUCUGGCUGUGGUGGGUGACACACCUGCAUAGGAAUCCUUUGGAUUCUGCCGCCUGAGGCACCUCACUCAGUCUGCCUCAUGGAUGGGAUGGCCCUGAUCUAACAGAAAGCAACUGUAGGAGGCUGGGAUCCUACACCCAGCAGUGAUGGUGGGGAAGGGGCUAUUUUUUCCCCUCUCAAGGAUCACCGAGUGUGUAGAUUCAGACACUUUGCUUAUCUACAAGUUCUGGGUAAAAAUCAGAUCCAAUAAAAAUAUAGCACAUCUUCUUGAUCUGGUUUUUCACCAUGGCAGUCCUGAAAAGCAAAAGAUCCAUUAUUUUUAUGGUUUAGGCAACAGAGAUAGCUGUGUUCUGCAAUUUGGUGGUGGGUGGUGAAAAGAGUCUGCAGUUUCAAGGGGAUCCAUUCUCUCUCUCUCUCUCCCUCUCUCUCUCUCUCUCUCUCUCUCUCUCUGUGUGUGUGUGUGUGUGUGUUUCUUUGCAUCUGUUUCUCAUUUGCUCCGGCUUCCCUCCUGCACUUUCAUUCAUUCUGCUUCCAAUUUGAGCCUUGAAAAGCACAUUAGAGCUGAAAGAAGUAGGAAAGCGUAUUGCACUUUGGACUUUAUCACUCCCCUCUAAGGACUCAGCCAUACAGCUUCACAUAAAACAUUUUAAGUUUGUUGUAAAAUGCAAUAUACAAAUGUGGCACUAGAUGGCGAGAGUGAGCUAUGGCAAAUUCAAUAUAUUUUUCAAAACGUUUUUUAAAUAAGCACUUUCACAACAUUUUUAAUAUGUGUGUGGAUUCCACCUAUGUAUCCUUCAAGAGGAGGAAAGAAAAGUAACUCACCAUUUCAUUUCCCCUUAUCUCAUGAUGAACAGGGCAAAAAGAGGGGAGCUCAGAGGCUUUGUGGGUGCCAGGGAAAGACCACAUGGGCACCAUUGCCAACCACAACAUUAAUGCUUCCUUCUGUAGUUCUCUUGUGUUUCCUGUGUUUCUCUUUUCUUUUUCUUUUUGCAGGGAACCACAGUGCUAACCAAUAUUGCUUCUGCCCUUAAUGAUGAGUCUCAGUGGAAGUACCCAUUUGAGUUCAAUCCCCUCCAACUUCCUGAACAAAAAAGGAGAGUUUAUAAAACAGGAAGCCUUUCUCAGUAGGUAAAUUAUUUCUGUCUUUCUAACUUCUAAUCAUUUCUUCAGCAAUGGCAGAAAAAUGUGUCCCAACGAUCACAUAAUUCACCUAUGGGACACCCUGUACCUGCAUCUAUGAAAGACCUAGAACAUGUUUAUUUACAGGAUUUUCACAUUGUCCAUUAACAAUAAAUCGCUCCCACAGGAGGCAGUGAUAUCCAUCAACUUGACUGGCUUCAAAAGAGGAUUAGACAAAUUCAUGGAGGCGAGAGGUAUGAAUGACUGCUAGCCAUAAUGGCUAUGCUCUCCCUUCACUGCUGGAGGCAGCAAUGCUUCUGAAUACCAGUUGCUGAAAAACACAGGUGGGAAGAGAAGAAGAAGAAGAGUUUGGAUUUGAUAUCCCACUUUAUCAGUACCCGAAGGAGUCUCAAAGCGGCUAACAUUCUCCUUUCUCUUCCUCCCCCAUAACAAACACUCUGUGACGUGAGUGAGGUGAGGCCGAGAGACUUCAGAGAAGUGUGACUGGCCCAAGGUCACCCAGCAGCUGCAUGUGGAGGAGCGGAGACGCGAACCCGGUUUGCCAGAUUACGAGUCUACCGCUCUUAACCACUACACCACACUGGUUUAGUGCUCUUGUGCUCAUUUCCUGCUUGUGGGUUUACCACAGGCAUCUGGCUGACCACUGUAAGAACAGGAUGCUGGACUAGAUGGGACACUGACCUAAUCCAGCAGGCUCUUCUUAUUGUUCUUCAGUUAUCUGGGCAAUGUAUAUUUGAACAUGUGCACACACACCCCAUAAAAAGGUAAAAAUACACUAUGAACGGGGGGGACCCCACUUCAAGGAAACCAAUGUUAUGUUUUUAUUGUACACCACAUAUACUACAGUAUUAAAUGGGAUAUAAAUUAUUAAAAUAAAAUAAAAAAUUGAAUCAAGUAUGCAAUAGAGGAAACAGAAUGUCUGAGGACUAAAAAGUGGACAAGCAUGAGUUUUCAUUUCUUCAGGGGAAUGAACGUGUCAGUUGGCACAUGGCAGCCAAACAAAACUGCACUCCCAAGCCAGUCCUGUUUUGUUUUUGUUGCUUGUUUAUUUGUGCUAUAUUUUUCCACAUGCACCUUGGUUUGACAAGGCUUCCAAGGUGGCUCACAAAAAAUACAAAAUAAAGAAUUAUUUUAAAAUGCUACAAUUGAUAUCACAAUUAAAUCAAAAUUCUUUCCAUUUAUUUCUUAUUCACUUGUAGAUUUAUGAAGUGCUUCAUAACCCAAAGUCCUCAAAAUGGCUGACAAUUUG
Podarcis lilfordi (Lilford's wall lizard) is the source of this 4843-nucleotide non-coding RNA. NCBI's taxonomy places the organism in Eukaryota, Metazoa, Chordata, Lepidosauria, Squamata, Lacertidae. The record is from the annotation of a GenBank genome assembly.